Molecule: ribosomal RNA, 301 nt
Filed under: uncultured bacterium
Lineage: Bacteria
Description: partial 16S ribosomal RNA
Rfam family: Bacterial small subunit ribosomal RNA
Source: RNAcentral
CAGCAGCCACGGUAAAACGAAGGUCCCGAGCGUUGUUCGGAAUCACUGGGCGUAAAGGGAGCGUAGGCGGCGUGGUAAGUCAGAUGUGAAAUCCCGGGGCUCAACCCCGGAACUGCAUCCGAUACUGCCAUGCUAGAGGAUUGGAGAGGUAGCUGGAAUUCUUGGUGUAGCAGUGAAAUGCGUGGAGAUCAAGAGGAACACUCGUGGCGAAAGCGAGCUACUGGACAAUAACUGACGCUGAGGCUCGAAGGCCAGGGUAGCGAAAGGGAUUAGAUACCCGCGUAGUCCCUGUCUCUUAUAC